Molecule: ribosomal RNA, 444 nt
Filed under: uncultured prokaryote
Description: bacterial SSU rRNA
Rfam family: Bacterial small subunit ribosomal RNA
Source: RNAcentral
CCAACGGGUGGCAGCAGUGGGGAAUUUUGGACAAUGGGCGCAAGCCUGAUCCAGCCAUGCCGCGUGAGUGAAGAAGGCCUUCGGGUUGUAAAGCUCUUUCGGUGGGGAAGAAAUUGCUUAGGUUAAUACCCUGAGUAGAUGACGGUACCCGCAUAAGAAGCACCGGCUAACUACGUGCCAGCAGCCGCGGUAAUACGUAGGGUGCGAGCGUUAAUCGGAAUUACUGGGCGUAAAGCGUGCGCAGGCGGUUGUAUAAGUCAGAUGUGAAAUCCCCGGGCUCAACCUGGGAACUGCAUUUGAGACUGUACGGCUAGAGUGUGGCAGAGGGGGGUAGAAUUCCACGUGUAGCAGUGAAAUGCGUAGAGAUGUGGAGGAAUACCGAUGGCGAAGGCAGCCCCCUGGGCCAAUACUGACGCUCAUGCACGAAAGCGUGGGGAGCAAACA